RNAcentral lists this transfer RNA (65 nucleotides) under Marmota monax (woodchuck). RNAcentral describes it as "tRNA.Phe". It matches the Rfam family "tRNA", at positions 6 to 65 of the family's 71-position model. From Rfam's summary of the family: Transfer RNA (tRNA) molecules are approximately 80 nucleotides in length. Their secondary structure includes four short double-helical elements and three loops (D, anti-codon, and T loops). The record is from RNAcentral. Lineage: Eukaryota; Metazoa; Chordata; Mammalia; Rodentia; Sciuridae.
GAUGUGGCUCAGUGACAGAGUGCUUGCCUGAAAAGCAUGAGGCCCUGGGUUCAAUCCCAAGCACA